Molecule: long non-coding RNA, 435 nt
Organism: Gallus gallus (chicken)
Lineage: Eukaryota; Metazoa; Chordata; Aves; Galliformes; Phasianidae
Source: Ensembl
CUUAUACAUAAAUGGAGCAAAUGUUGGUCAACCUAGGCAUUUGACUUUUAAGAAGGUUAAAGGAAAUAUGAUAAAGUUUCCAAAGGAAGUGGAAAAACCCAAACUACAAGCAACAGUCAGACUUUGACGGAAUAAAUGACUUCUUCCGGAAGAUGCAGAGACAAAGGGGAAACAAAAAACAAACAAACAAACAAACAAAAAACACUGGUAAUACUCCUCCCCCAUCAAAACACAAGCGACUUUUUCAAACAAGUAUUUGGAAAAAAUAGAUAAGUCAUUCAUUGCUGUAAAGGUCAAAAGACAGCUUCUGCCACAUCAUAUGGGAAAAGUUAAUUCCAGCAUUUUCGGGUAUGGAGGUCUCAUCUUACUUGCACAGUUUCUCUGUAUUUUAUUUCCAUUAUUUCUGUUUGUGUUGUUGUAUGAUUUGGAGAAAAG